This 551-nucleotide ribosomal RNA is filed under the name uncultured bacterium. RNAcentral's name for it is "bacterial SSU rRNA". It matches the Rfam family "Bacterial small subunit ribosomal RNA", at positions 110 to 656 of the family's 1533-position model. The record is from RNAcentral.
GUAAUGCUUCGGAAUCUACCCUCUAGUGGGGAAUAACCAGCCGAAAGGUUGGCUAAUACCGCAUACGUCCUACGGGAGAAAGCAGGGGAUCGUAAGACCUUGGCGCUGAUGGAUGAGCCGAAGUCGGAUUAGCUAGUUGGUGAGGUAACGGCUCACCAAGGCGACGAUCCGUAGCUGGUCUGAGAGGACGACCAGCCACACUGGGACUGAGACACGGCCCAGACUCCUACGGGAGGCAGCAGUGGGGAAUAUUGGACAAUGGGGGCAACCCUGAUCCAGCGACGCCGCGUGUGUGAAGAAGGCCUGCGGGUUGUAAAGCACUUUUAGUGGGGAUGAAAUGUGCAGGGUUAAUACCUCUGCAUUUUGACCUAACCCACAGAAAAAGCACCGGCUAACUCUGUGCCAGCAGCCGCGGUAAUACAGAGGGUGCAAGCGUUAAUCGGAAUUACUGGGCGUAAAGCGUGCGCAGACGGUUAUAUAAGUCGGGUGUGAAAGCCCCGGGCUCAACCUGGGAAUUGCAUUCGAGACUGUGUAGCUAGGGUACGGAAGAG